GGAGUUUGGACCGUGUCUCAGUUCCAAUGUGGGGGACCUUCCUCUCAGAACCCCUACUGAUCGCAGGCUCGGUGGGCCGUUACCCCGCCGACAACCUAAUCAGACGCAUCCCCAUCCCUUAGCGAUAAAUCUUUGGUCCUCGUCAGAUGUCUUCAAAGGACAACAUAGGGAAUUAAUCCGACUUUCGCCGGG
This 192-nucleotide ribosomal RNA is filed under the name uncultured Prevotella sp. RNAcentral describes it as "partial 16S ribosomal RNA". The record is from RNAcentral. Lineage: Bacteria; Pseudomonadati; Bacteroidota; Bacteroidia; Bacteroidales; Prevotellaceae.